Molecule: unclassified non-coding RNA, 2336 nt
Filed under: Daphnia pulex (common water flea)
Lineage: Eukaryota; Metazoa; Arthropoda; Branchiopoda; Diplostraca; Daphniidae
Description: snurportin-1-like, transcript variant X1
Source: RNAcentral
UGUUUGUCGUCUGCGUCUUCACGAUGCGAACACAAUACGAACAUUGACACAUAGUCACACAAACACAUCCCUAGCAACUUUCUGUUUAAAUGUACAAGUAUUGUUUUAACUUUCCUUAAAAUUAGAAGUGUAAUUGCGUCAAGUGAGAUUUGAACUGUAAUAAUUAUGGAUAAUUUAAUUGGUUCCUUGGAACUGUCACUCAAUGUGUCAAACGAAUUGCACAGCACCAUCAGUCCGCACCCUAGGUUUUCACAAUUCAAAAAAACUUCGAAGACAAGCCAAGAAGUUCGCAGGAGAAGAACUUUGGAAAAUCAAAAACAGAGCCGCUAUGAUUACUACAAUCAUUGUAGAUGUUUGGCAGAGAGUGAUUUCAGUGUUGGCGAUGGAAAUCUUUCAGAUAGCCCUGAUGAAAUGGAGUGGUCUCCUCCCAAGAUAAAAACUCCAAGAGCAUAUCAGGAUCAAAUAAUGCUUUCAGAAUGGCUUGAUGAAGUACCAGUCGAUUUUGAAACUAAUUGGCUUAUUAUGCCUUGUCCUGUUGGAAAAAGAUGUCUAGUUGUUGCUUCAAGAGGAUGGACAAAGGUUUACUCAAAAAGUGGAUUUCUAAUAACAGAAUUCCAAUCCCAAUUGCCUGGAGGAUUUCAUAAAAGUUCAGACAGUACCAUUCUUGAUUGUCUUUGGAAUGACCACAAACAAUGCUAUUUUGUUUUGGAUGUUUUGAGCUGGAGUAGAGUACCAUUACUUGGAUGUGAAGCUGAAUUCAGGUUUUACUGGGUGAAUGGUAAAUUCAACGAACACCCUGAAUUAGGAAUGAAAUCGAAAAAAAAUCGGUAUCCUUUCAUUCCAUUGCCCAUCUUACCUUGCAUCAAAGAAAAUAUCGAAGCUUUACUUGAGGAUGAAAAACAAAGUUGGCAACCUUUGGACGGUCUCCUAUUUUAUCACAAAUUGGGAUUUUAUACUCCGGGAGUCAGCCCUUUAGUUGGAUGGCUCAAACCAUUCAUGAUUGCGGAGAUUUUGAAAGCAAAAGUACCGGAGUUCUACAUGCAGAAGAAACCCGUAAGCUAUGUGAAUAUCCAGCAACAUUUAAAGAAAAAAUCUCCAAAAUGCGAGGAAAAUUCUGUUGAGAUGUCAGCAACAGAUUAAUACUGUGUGAUAAUAUUUGAGCACUUCAUCUUGUUUUAAAUUGUUGACAAAAGUCGGUGCGGGUGAUGCUCAUAUCCUGAUUUGAUUCGACUUGUAGGAUUUCAGAUUCUUCUAAGUAUACAUUUUGCCAUUUUUUAAAGUUCCAGUGUUUCAAAAAAUUUUGGGAAGUAUUUUGACCGUUGAUCUGUUUAGUGUUUACCAUCCAUUUUCAAUGACAUAUUAUCCUUCGCCAUGCUUAAAUCAAUUAGCUACAUUCUAGACUGUUAUGCUAUUAGUGAAAACCACUAUUUAACGAAAAUAGAACGGCAUUCCCAUAGGCAUAAUUAAUUUUAAUAAGCCAAAGGUCUAGCGACGCUUAUGUUAUUGAAACGAAGACGUCGGAUGAUUGAAAUUUAAUUUACGUAUUCAAGUUUGUAUCAGAAAGGCAGAAAUUGGCCAGUGCAGUUUGAUAAAGCAUAGAAAGACUGAUUAGUAUGAAUGGAGUUAAAAACAGUUGAAAUGUAAUGUGGUGUCAGGCGAGCGUGUAAGCUGAGAGUGAGAGAAGCUUUACAGACAACCAAAGUCUUUACAAUGAAAUACAAGCAAAUUAAGGUAAAGUCAUCAAGUAUAAUAAAUGACAAAUUCCGUGAAAUAAUCAGUGAACUUUAGGAGUCUGAAUUAAUUUGAGCGAAAUUACCAAACGCUUUUGGAAGUUAUUCUCAGUUAUUCUUGUAUAUGUCAAUUAAGUAAACUAUAGAAGUUCAAUCUUUUUUUUCUGACAAACCACACGCACCAUAUAUACCCGGCUAUACACGUUUCAGUAGUGUAGCAACUGCAGACCUAAUUCUAAAUUUCAUUUCAUUACAGAAUGCUCUGUACAUGUUGAAAGAGGACUAUACGUACGUGUUGAAAAGAUAGCGCUAGGCCGCUAGCAUAUGGAAUGGUGAUGACGUUUGGGAAAAGAGCCAAAGUAGAGGAAUAGAGUAGUGGAAAGGGGGAGUUCUUAGUAGAGGUGUGGCUUCACACAAAAAUUGGUAGAUGCCCCUUUCAUUUUCUACAGUUAGGCUACCAGUCAGUCUCCGCUUACACCACGUUAGACAUCGUUUCCAAAUACUAGCUACAGUCUAUAGCAAAAGGUUAGAAUAUCAUAAUAUCUGUUCCUCUUCUUAGUCCAUGGUUAAUAUUGUAAUUCAUCUUAAUGCUUGAUUAAAAAUUUA